AUUGAACGCUGGCGGCAUGCCUUACACAUGCAAGUCGAACGGUAGCAGGUCUUCGGAUGCUGACGAGUGGCGAAUGGGUGAGUAAUACAUCGGAACGUGCCCGAUCGUGGGGGAUAACGCAGCGAAAGCUGUGCUAAUACCGCAUACGAUCUACGGAUGAAAGCGGGGGAUCUUCGGACCUCGCGCGGACGGAGCGGCCGAUGGCAGCUUAGGUAGUUGGUGGGGUAAAGGCUCACCAAGCCUGCGAUCUGUAGCUGGUCUGAGAGGACGACCGGCCACACUGGGACUGAGACACGGCCCAGACUCCUGCGGGAGGCAGCAGUGGGGAAUUUUGGACAAUGGGCGCAAGCCUGAUCCAGCCAUGCCGCGUGCAGGAUGAAGGCCUUCGGGUUGUAAACUGCUUUUGUACGGAACGAAAAGUCUCUUUUUAAUAAAGAGGGAUCAUGACGGUACCGUAAGAAUAAGCACCGGCUAACUACGUGCCAGCCGCCGCAGUAA
RNAcentral lists this ribosomal RNA (498 nucleotides) under uncultured bacterium. RNAcentral's name for it is "partial 16S ribosomal RNA". It matches the Rfam family "Bacterial small subunit ribosomal RNA", at positions 30 to 523 of the family's 1533-position model. The record is from RNAcentral.